Molecule: ribosomal RNA, 425 nt
Filed under: uncultured bacterium
Lineage: Bacteria
Description: partial 16S ribosomal RNA
Rfam family: Bacterial small subunit ribosomal RNA
Source: RNAcentral
GUGGGGAAUCUUAGACAAUGGGGGAAACCCUGAUCUAGCCAUGCCGCGUGAGCGAUGAAGGCCUUAGGGUUGUAAAGCUCUUUCAGCUGGGAAGAUAAUGACGGUACCAGCAGAAGAAGCCCCGGCUAACUCCGUGCCAGCAGCCGCGGUAAUACGGAGGGGGCUAGCGUUGUUCGGAAUUACUGGGCGUAAAGCGCGCGUAGGCGGACUGAAAAGUUGGGGGUGAAAUCCCGGGGCUCAACCUCGGAACUGCCUUCAAAACUAUCAGUCUGGAGUUCGAGAGAGGUGAGUGGAAUUCCGAGUGUAGAGGUGAAAUUCGUAGAUAUUCGGAGGAACACCAGUGGCGAAGGCGGCUCACUGGCUCGAUACUGACGCUGAGGUGCGAAAGCGUGGGGAGCAAACAGGAUUAGAAACCCGUGUAGUCC